RNAcentral lists this long non-coding RNA (1505 nucleotides) under Phaseolus vulgaris (common bean). Its description in RNAcentral is "long non-coding RNA (PVUL_LNC002330)". The record is from RNAcentral. Lineage: Eukaryota; Viridiplantae; Streptophyta; Magnoliopsida; Fabales; Fabaceae.
UGGGCCAUCCAUAACAAGAGUGGCAGCAGCCGGAUUGAGUGGAGAGUGUCAUCGCAGAGAUAAAGGGUCUUUCCUUCUAUCUUCCACCCUUCCAGGUGAGCCCAAAUGGUAUCAACCUUAUCUUUUUCCUUUUACUUUUAAUCCAUCAAAAGGUUAUUUUACUUUUCAUAAUUGGCUCUCAUGAUGCCCAGAAAUGCAUGCAAGUUAUUCGUUUGGAGGGUAAGUAAACAAUAGUACUACUACCACUGAUGUCCGUCCCCUUGGAAGGAGGGAAAGAAAUUUUAGUACAAUUCUACCACAACAAAUGUCCCCUACACUUUGAAUCAACAAUCAUUCAAGUCAAAACCCAAACUUAUCAGUAAUAGAAAUAGGGUCAUGGAAACCAGUCAAAUCAAUUUAAGCCCUAUGAAAACCAAUACAAAAAUUAUGUCUACCUAGCUUAAUAUGUGGUCGCAUUAAUGCAUAUUACUUUACUAGUACAUUAGUCCAAUGUUUAGUAUAUUACAUAAACUUCAAUAUAUAUUUUAUUCCAUUUGGUUUUAUCACUCUUUUUUUUAUCACUGAAUAUGUAAAUUAACUCACUAAUUGGAUUAACUGUGUGAGGUUAUUCCAGCUUACUAAUGGUUUUGAUUUGAAUCCUAUGUAUAACGAGCUAUUUCUACCCAAAAGAAAUUAUCUCAGGUUUUAUUACAAGAAAUCUUACUUGAAUUGAAUAGGUAAUUCGAGCCGUAUUUGUAUUGUACAUGACCCAAAAUCAUCAAAACCAUCAAGGACUAGGUACAAAACAGCUUGUUACUCUAGUCAGUUAUGUUAUAAAAACGAUUUUUCUCAGUGACAAAAAUGUUACACAAACAAGGCUUAUCUAAGCAAGUUACAUGGUUGAAUAUAUCUAUCUACAUUUCAUCAAUGAUGAAUAUGAUACAAAAUACGACUAUGGGUGUACCAAAGCUGUUUCAUGUACAUCUGUUGAGCGAAGUAGUCAGUUAUCUGAGUAUUGGAGUAAGCCAAAAUCACAGCCUUCCCAAGACACAGCACAGUGUUGCCUUUUCAAUUUCAUUCUUUUUACAAUAUCAGUGGUUAAUAUUUUUUUUAUUCAACUCCUGGUGUGACGAUCUUUGUCAAGAUCAUCAAACUCCCAUUCACUUAUCUCUUCUGCUGAGUCAUCUUCACUUAAUUUAUCAAGUUCUAUUUCUAUUUCUGAUCUUCCAGGCAUUAUUGAGAAAGAGUUUUUUCUCACUACAUCUUGCUUGUGUUUUUUAGCCGAGGGAGGAGAAGGAGUUCUGGAGACUAUUUGACUUGAUGGUGUUUCUGACCUUUCAGUUGGAAUCUCAAGUUCCAUUUUUGGCCUCUCAAUAGAUUCAAAUUCGUCUUUUAUUUUCUCAAUGGCAUCAAACAGUUGUGUCACCUUGUCGCUGUCUUUUCUAUAUCAAAAUUGUAAAUGUUAAAGGGAAGAAACAUUUAUAUAUGUAUGUUAAUAUGGAAAAAGAAAAAGACAAGAGGCCAGG